GGCAAGAUGGCCGAGUGGUUUAAGGCGUCGCACUUAAGUCGUUGGACAACUGGUUUAGUUUACUAGCUGGGCUGGUGCUGUUUGGCGGAAAUGCGAUCUCGUAAGAGGCGCGGGUUCGAACCCCGUUCUUGCCA
Non-coding RNA from Aspergillus niger ATCC 1015, 134 nucleotides. The record is from Rfam. Lineage: Eukaryota; Fungi; Ascomycota; Eurotiomycetes; Eurotiales; Aspergillaceae.